Molecule: ribosomal RNA, 232 nt
Filed under: uncultured bacterium
Lineage: Bacteria
Description: partial 16S ribosomal RNA
Rfam family: Bacterial small subunit ribosomal RNA
Source: RNAcentral
UGAGUAACCUGCCCCAGACUCUGGAAUAACCCCGGGAAACCGGAGCUAAUACCGGAUACGAGGCGAAGCUGCAUGGCUAUCGUCUGGAAAGUUUUUCGGUCUGGGAUGGACUCGCGGCCUAUCAGCUUGUUGGUGAGGUAAUGGCUCACCAAGGCGACGACGGGUAGCCGGCCUGAGAGGGUGACCGGCCACACUGGGACUGAGACACGGCCCAGACUCCUACGGGAGGCAG